UAUUGGAAAUGCAUCUGAUAUAUUUAAUGUAUAAAACUAUAUUUAAAAAAAAAAGAUGUUAAGAUGAUGAGGAGAGCCACCUUGUCAGCCGGGAGAGCAGCUCUAAGGGAGAUGGUAAAUUUAAUCUUCACCAAGUCUGAGGCUUUACCAUGAAAAAUAUGUGGUUGUUAUAAUGAUGAUGUUUUCAUGGUGUUGGGAGUAAGACUUGGAUGUCUGAUAUUGUUAACAUGUUGGUUAGCAUCAGGUUUCCAUUGGGUUACUUACUGGGAUAAAGCUGU
This is a long non-coding RNA of Mytilus californianus (California mussel), 278 nucleotides long. RefSeq lists it as uncharacterized. The transcript has 3 exons. The record is from RefSeq and is a predicted model, not a curated record. NCBI's taxonomy places the organism in Eukaryota, Metazoa, Mollusca, Bivalvia, Mytilida, Mytilidae.